UACGGAGGGUGCAAGUGUUAUUCGGAAUCACUGGGCGUAAAGAGCACGUAGGCGGAUGGGUAAGUCAGAUGUGGAAUCCCGGGGCUUAACUUCGGAACUGCAUUUGAUACUGUCCGUCUUGAGUGUGGUAGAGGGGGAUGGAAUUCCCGGUGUAGAGGUGAAAUUCGUAGAUAUCGGGAGGAACACCAGAGGCGAAGGCGAUCCCCUGGGCCAUUACUGACGCUGAGGUGCGAAAGCGUGGGGAG
RNAcentral lists this ribosomal RNA (245 nucleotides) under uncultured bacterium. Its description in RNAcentral is "partial 16S ribosomal RNA". It matches the Rfam family "Bacterial small subunit ribosomal RNA", at positions 524 to 768 of the family's 1533-position model. The record is from RNAcentral.